GGAACACAUAUUAAUAAUUGGAUAGUAAUAGACACAGGAGUAUUUUAAGCAAGCAAAUUAUCAAGCAUAUAAUCUAAAAUAAGGGAAAUAAGCAAACUAAUAGGUGUCCUGCAAAGGAUUCUUCCUUGCUUUCUGCAUAUUUCUAAGUAACAAAACUAAAUGAGAAUUAAAGAUUUUGCAGCCAAACAAGGGAAAACAUAGACCUACAGCAUGAACAUCUUGAGUAUGAAUGACUGCAAAAUUGUCUUACAGAAGUAUAAACAUAUAUAUAAAACUUAUACUGAAUAAUGUAAUUUUAUAUUUGCAGAUAAUCGAAAAAAC
Molecule: unclassified non-coding RNA, 321 nt
Filed under: Hevea brasiliensis (rubber tree)
Lineage: Eukaryota; Viridiplantae; Streptophyta; Magnoliopsida; Malpighiales; Euphorbiaceae
Source: RNAcentral